This 508-nucleotide ribosomal RNA is filed under the name uncultured bacterium. RNAcentral describes it as "partial 16S ribosomal RNA". It matches the Rfam family "Bacterial small subunit ribosomal RNA", at positions 28 to 507 of the family's 1533-position model. The record is from RNAcentral.
GACGAACGCUGGCGGCGUGCCUAAUACAUGCAAGUCGAACGCUUCUUUCCUCCCGAGUGCUUGCACUCAAUUGGAAGGAGGAGUGGCGGACGGGUGAGUAACACGUGGGUAACCUACCCAUCAGAGGGGGAUGACACUUGGAAACAGGUGCUAAUACCGCAUAACAGUUUAUGCCGCAUGGCAUAAGAGUGAAAGGCGCUUUCGGGUGUCGCUGAUGGAUGGACCCGCGGUGCAUUAGCUAGUUGGUGAGGUAACGGCUCACCAAGGCCACGAUGCAUAGCCGCCCUGAGAGGGUGAUCGGCCACACUGGGACUGAGCCACGGCCCAGACUCCUACGGGAGGCAGCAGUAGGGAAUCUUCGGCAAUGGACGAAAGUCUGACCGAGCAACGCCGCGUGAGUGAAGAAGGUUUUCGGAUCGUAAAACUCUGUUGUUAGAGAAGAACAAGGACGUUAGUAACUGAACGUCCCCUGACGGUAUCUAACCAGAAAGCCACGGCUAACUACGUG